AUUGAACGCUGGCGGCAGGCCUAACACAUGCAAGUCGAACGGCUGAAGCGGACUUGCUUCUGCUUUCAGAGGGGGACGGGUGUGUGAUGCCUGGGAACAUGCCUGGCCGUGGUGUAGAACGUGCGGAGGCAGGGGCUAAUACUGCAUAAGACCAGAGGCAGAAGGAGGGUGAGCAGCGGAACUUAAGCUCUUACAUGAGUGAAGGUCGGACUAGCUAGUUGGUGGGGUAAGGGACUACCAAGGCGACGAUCCGUAACUGGUCUGAGAGGAUGAUCAGCCACACUGGAACUGAGACACGGUCCAGAGUCCUACGGGAGGCAGCAGUGGGGAAUGUUGGACAAUGGUCGAAAGCCUUAUCCAGCCAUGCCGCGUGUGUGAAGAAGGCCUUCGGAUUGUAAAGCCCGUUUUCUGGGUAGGAACCGCAGUAAGUUAAUACCAAGCUGUUUUGACGGUACCAACAGAAUAAGCACCGGCUAACUUCGUG
This 484-nucleotide ribosomal RNA is filed under the name uncultured bacterium. RNAcentral describes it as "partial 16S ribosomal RNA". It matches the Rfam family "Bacterial small subunit ribosomal RNA", at positions 30 to 507 of the family's 1533-position model. The record is from RNAcentral.